AGCGAACGCUGGCGGCAGGCCUAACACAUGCAAGUCGAACGAACUCUUCGGAGUUAGUGGCGGACGGGUGAGUAACACGUGGGAACGUGCCUUUAGGUUCGGAAUAACUCAGGGAAACUUGUGCUAAUACCGAAUGUGCCCUUCGGGGGAAAGAUUUAUCGCCUUUAGAGCGGCCCGCGUCUGAUUAGCUAGUUGGUGAGGUAAAGGCUCACCAAGGCGACGAUCAGUAGCUGGUCUGAGAGGAUGAUCAGCCACAUUGGGACUGAGACACGGCCCAAACUCCUACGGGAGGCAGCAGUGGGGAAUCUUGCGCAAUGGGCGAAAGCCUGACGCAGCCAUGCCGCGUGAAUGAUGAAGGUCUUAGGACUGUAAAAUUCUUUCACCGGGGACGAUAAUGACGGUACCCGGAGAAGAAGCCCCGGCUAACUUCGUG
This 433-nucleotide ribosomal RNA is filed under the name uncultured bacterium. RNAcentral describes it as "partial 16S ribosomal RNA". It matches the Rfam family "Bacterial small subunit ribosomal RNA", at positions 29 to 507 of the family's 1533-position model. The record is from RNAcentral.